GGGUGCAGGACAGUGGUGACCAGGACCCUGCUCCACCUGCUUGGGCACGACCUCACUCAGCGUGUCCCCCACCCCCAGGCACAGAGGCCCCCUUCUGGGUCUUGGCGUCCUGUGCCCUCCCUCAGGCUUUCUGAACCCUUUCCCUUGGGAGAAGAGUGGUCCCCCACACCAUAAGUGGCUGUGAUAGAGGAGCAGGAGAGCCCCACGGGUGGCUGGGGAACAGCUGAAGAUAAGGGAACUGGGCAGAGGAUGGAGCUGGGAAGGAAAGCCUCAUCUUUGUAUUUGGCACAUAGUAGUAACUCAAUAAAUGUCGAAUGAAUGAA
Long non-coding RNA from Neogale vison (American mink), 323 nucleotides. RefSeq lists it as uncharacterized. Lineage: Eukaryota; Metazoa; Chordata; Mammalia; Carnivora; Mustelidae. The transcript is spliced from 2 exons. The record is from RefSeq and is a predicted model, not a curated record.